CAGUCGCCGCGGUAAUACGAGGGGGGCAAGCGUUGUUCGGAAUUAUUGGGCGUAAAGGGUGCGUAGGCGGUUCAGCAAGUCUCGUGUGAAAUCUUCGGGCUCAACCCGAAGUCUGCACGGGAAACUACUGGGCUUGAGUAAUGGAGAGGUGAGUGGAAUUUCCGGUGUAGCGGUGAAGUGCGUAGAUAUCGGAAGGAACACCUGUGGCGAAAGCGGCUCACUGGACAUUUACUGACGCUGAUGCACGAAAGCUAGGGGAGCAAACAGGAUUAGAUACCCCCGUAGUCCCUGUCUCUUAUAC
This 301-nucleotide ribosomal RNA is filed under the name uncultured bacterium. RNAcentral describes it as "partial 16S ribosomal RNA". It matches the Rfam family "Bacterial small subunit ribosomal RNA", at positions 509 to 807 of the family's 1533-position model. The record is from RNAcentral.